RNAcentral lists this ribosomal RNA (450 nucleotides) under uncultured bacterium. Its description in RNAcentral is "bacterial SSU rRNA". It matches the Rfam family "Bacterial small subunit ribosomal RNA", at positions 29 to 524 of the family's 1533-position model. The record is from RNAcentral.
AGCGAACGCUGGCGGCAGGCUUAACACAUGCAAGUCGAACGGCCCUUUCGGGGGCAGUGGCGGACGGGUGAGUAACACGUGGGAACGUGCCCUUAGGUUCGGAACAACACAGGGAAACUUGUGCUAAUACCGGAUGUGCCCUUUUGGGGAAAGAUUUAUCGCCUUUGGAGCGGCCCGCGUCUGAUUAGCUAGUUGGUGGGGUAAAGGCCUACCAAGGCUACGAUCAGUAGCUGGUCUGAGAGGANGGCCAGCCACACUGGGACUGAGACACGGCCCAGACUCCUACGGGAGGCAGCAGUGGGGAAUCUUGCGCAAUGGGCGAAAGCCUGACGCAGCCAUGCCGCGUGGAUGAUGAAGGUCUUAGGAUUGUAAAAUCCUUUCAGCGGGGACGAUAAUGACGGUACCCGCAGAAGAAGCCCCGGCUAACUUCGUGCCAGCCGCCGCCGUAAC